AGUGAACGCUGGCGGUAGGCCUAACACAUGCAAGUCGAGCGGCAGCACAGUAAGAGCUUGCUCUUACGGGUGGCGAGUGGCGGACGGGUGAGGAAUACAUCGGAAUCUACUUUUUCGUGGGGGAUAACGUAGGGAAACUUACGCUAAUACCGCAUACGACCUACGGGUGAAAGCAGGGGAUCUUCGGACCUUGCGCGAUUGAAUGAGCCGAUGUCGGAUUAGCUAGUUGGCGGGGUAAAGGCCCACCAAGGCGACGAUCCGUAGCUGGUCUGAGAGGAUGAUCAGCCACACUGGAACUGAGACACGGUCCAGACUCCUACGGGAGGCAGCAGUGGGGAAUAUUGGACAAUGGGCGCAAGCCUGAUCCAGCCAUACCGCGUGGGUGAAGAAGGCCUUCGGGUUGUAAAGCCCUUUUGUUGGGAAAGAAAAGCAGCAGGUUAAUACCCCGCUGUUCUGACGGUACCCAAAGAAUAAGCACCGGCUAACUGCGU
Molecule: ribosomal RNA, 491 nt
Filed under: uncultured bacterium
Lineage: Bacteria
Description: partial 16S ribosomal RNA
Rfam family: Bacterial small subunit ribosomal RNA
Source: RNAcentral